UAGGUGUUAGCUGUUAGGUGUUAGCUGUUAGCUAUUAGGUGUUAGCUGUUAGGUGUUAGCUGUUAGCUAUUAGGUGUUAGCUGUUAGCUAUUAGGUGUUAGCUGUUAGCUAUUAACUAGCUGUUAGCUAUUAGGUGUUAGCUGUUAGGUGUUAGCUCACUGGUUUUAUGUGUUGAUGUAAUUUAGUAUCGUGCUGCAGCAGCUGCUCCUGCUGUGAGGCUGCUGUGACACUUGUACACACAAACACAGAGUAGGGACGCCAUGGUGCAGACAGGAAGUGAAGAUAACUUGAGCUGACGACAGCUGCGCUUGUUACUGUGAGUGCAAUAAAACCUCCACCAGGACAAAAUCAAUACUUUAUCAAACAGCUGAUCAGCAACAUGUAGAAAAUAUUUCAGUCUGCUCUGUCCACAG
Long non-coding RNA from Epinephelus fuscoguttatus (brown-marbled grouper), 413 nucleotides. RefSeq lists it as uncharacterized. The transcript is spliced from 3 exons. Lineage: Eukaryota; Metazoa; Chordata; Actinopteri; Perciformes; Serranidae. The record is from RefSeq and is a predicted model, not a curated record.